CAACAAAAACCAGCUGCUUCUAUGCCCAGUGAUUAACCUAUGGUGAAAACUGGAGGGGUGUUUGGAAGAUGUGCCUGAAAUCAGUGUUACGAAACAACUGGAUCAUGACAACUUUUUUCUUCAGAGAGAAUCCGUGCAUGCGUCGGAGGAACAUGGAUAUGGAUUAUACGUAGAGACUACCUUUUUUGUGGAUUUAUAAAAGCAAUUAGAAUUGUAACCAUGGAGAAAUUUUUCCUCUGAAACAUUUUAAUAUACUUGAAAUAAUUGACUUGAAUUGGAAAAGGAAUUUGAACACUUUUCAACUCCUAAUUUUAUUAAAUCUCUUUGAGUGACUUGGAUUUUGCUCAUGUUAUAUGUAAUGAGGUUUGACCCUUUUCUUCCUCCUCCACCUUCCCUUCCCAAGGACUAAGGCUUUCAAACUGAGCAGAGAACAUACAAUUUUGUAUUUGAAUUUCUCUGCCCAUCUAAACAUCUCAGAGGUGAAGUAUCAGUGUUACAAACUGUCUCUUGGAUUGUUUUGGUCUUUCUCCUGUGGUGUUAUUUGGAACAAAGCAGUGAAAUGUGACCUGUGAAUACAUGGACUGUAUUUCAUCUUACCAUAAAAAAAAAAAAAAAGCUGAUUAUGCUGAAGACUGGGUAUUGAUUUUUAAAACACAAUCAGAUAUCAGGAAACUGUAUUCAGUCUUCCAGUCAGUGUAUAUGACAUUAUCUGCCACUUUCCAGCCAGGGCAAUGGCUGCACCUCAUCCAUCGUCAUGAGAACUCGCACCCGUGUGGUCUGGUAAGAUGUCUUUUUGUGGAGGAGGUACAAAUGUAAGAUCGCAUCAGAAGGUCAAAAUAACCAUGUUCGCUUUCAACACAAACUGUAAAUUGUGCAAAAAAAAAAAAGUUGGAUUUAUGCACAACUCUUUUGAUUCUCUUGUACAUUUUUUGCUGUGAAAUGCACUGAGAUCUCAAUGCGAGUCAUAGUCCAUUUGUGAGACAUGGGGGUGGGGAUAAUAAAACUACAAAAUGA
Tinamus guttatus (white-throated tinamou) is the source of this 1014-nucleotide non-coding RNA. The record is from RefSeq and is a predicted model, not a curated record. Lineage: Eukaryota; Metazoa; Chordata; Aves; Tinamiformes; Tinamidae.